GGAAAUCUCGUUGAGUUUGGGAGGCCUUACUUCUGCAUAUUUGAAUCUGGUGACCAAAUUAAACAUUGUUCUAACUGUAGUGGUCUGAUCAUUCUACCAAGGCCAUGACUGUGAAGAGCACUGUGGGUGAUGGCUGGUGGCUCACCGGAGCCGGCUUGUGCACGGCGCCCGAAGCCAAAGAAAUCUGAAGACCCGACCUUACUAUUGGCAAAGACAGACAAACACUCUACAAAUAGUGCUUGAAAAAUGCCACUGUUUGGUUCAGAUGGUGAAGAGGAACUCAGGAAGGCCUGGCAGUCUCUAGGAGGCUAGGGCAGUGGUUCUCAAAUGAUAGGGUGUACAGAAAUUCCCUGGAGGACUUGUGACAACAAAGAUUGCUAGGCCUACUCCCAGGGUUUCUAAUUCAGCAGGUCUGGGGAUGGAGCUCAAGUAUCUGCAUUUCUAACAAGUCCCCGGUGGUGCUGAUGCUGCUUGCAUGGACCAGUUUUGAGAACCAUACUUGGAGAAACACUUGGUUAGGAAAACUAUGUCUGUUACAGAUUGAUCAAAGGGCUCUUAAGUUCCUUUUGUACAAUAAAUCACUGCGAUAUCAAAUGAGGUAAAUGAACAUGCUCUUUGAACUCUUAACUUCUAGACCAAUAUAAAACAUUCUAAAUAUGAAAUGGAAACAUUUACAAUUGUUAUUGAUUCUCAUCAAUGCAAUGUUCAAUAAAGAUAAGAAUCAC
Long non-coding RNA from Homo sapiens (human), 725 nucleotides. Ensembl annotates it as long intergenic non-protein coding RNA 1812. Lineage: Eukaryota; Metazoa; Chordata; Mammalia; Primates; Hominidae. The record is from Ensembl.